RNAcentral lists this ribosomal RNA (496 nucleotides) under uncultured bacterium. RNAcentral describes it as "partial 16S ribosomal RNA". It matches the Rfam family "Bacterial small subunit ribosomal RNA", at positions 28 to 506 of the family's 1533-position model. The record is from RNAcentral.
GAUGAACGCUGGCGGCGUGCCUAAUACAUGCAAGUCGAGCGAACAGACGAGGAGCUUGCUCCUCUGACGUUAGCGGCGGACGGGUGAGUAACACGUGGAUACCCUACCUAUAAGACUGGGAUAACUUCGGGAAACCGGAGAUAAUACCGGAUAAUAUAUUGAACCGCAUGGUUCAUUAGUGCAAGCCGGUUUUGCUGUCACUUAUAGAUGGAUCCGCGCCGCGUUAGCUAGUUGGUAAGGUAACGGCUUACCAAGGCGACGAUGCGUAGCCGACCUGAGAGGUGGAUCGGCCACACUGAAACUGAGACACGGUCCAGACUCCUACGGGAGGCAGCAGUAGGGAAUCUUCCGCAAUGGGCGAAAGCCUGACGGAGCAACGCCGCGUGAGUGAUGAAGGUCUGCGGAUCGUAAAACUCUGUUAUUAGGGAAGAACAAAUGUGUAAGUAACUAUGCACGUCUUGACGGUACCUAAGCAGAAAGCCACGGCUAACUACGG